Hemicordylus capensis (graceful crag lizard) is the source of this 1435-nucleotide long non-coding RNA. RefSeq lists it as uncharacterized. NCBI's taxonomy places the organism in Eukaryota, Metazoa, Chordata, Lepidosauria, Squamata, Cordylidae. The record is from RefSeq and is a predicted model, not a curated record. The transcript is spliced from 2 exons.
AGGUGAGCAACCUGUUUUUCUGUUGGCUUCUUAUUCUUUUUCUUUUUCAAAAAGAAAAUCAAUUAAAUCACUAUUCCUAUGUCCAACAACAGGGAGAUGAGUUUAAUGACUGUUCAUCACUACUUCGAAAACCGGCAGAGGAAGGGGCAGAGGAGGGAGAGGGACGAGAGGCUUCUCAGCAUUUCUUCCACUUGUUAACUCUUUGCUGGGUCCAUCCUUGGAUUCCGUGGCAUUGGCCGCAGAAUCAUGUUUUAAAAGUGAAACAUUUCCUGGGGUUCUUUCAUCUCAUCCAUACAGACUGGAGCUCAUUUGCGGGUCAGUUCCAUUGUAGAACAGCGGUUUCCACCAUUUCCCUCAGCACGAUUCUCAAUAAGCAUAAUAAGGAUGUGUAGUACAUUGCCAUUUAGAGCAAAUAUUUGAAGCAAACUCUCAUACCUUGACUUGUCAGCCAAGCCAUUACGUCUGCUGUGAACUCUCCAAGAGCAAACGUACGCUCUUAAUGUUACCAAACAGGUCCUAGAUAUCCCCGUCUGGCAAAAAUGUCAACAAGAGUGAAAAGGGUUCUUUUAUUAGUUACAUUAUUAUCUUGUACAAGGCUUAUGGUAUAAUAAAAAUGUCGACCUUUAUUUGUCUAAACAUGCGCACACAGACACACGCACACCCACACACUGCCAUAUUGAAAAGAUACCCAUCUGCUUCUGAGAGAAGAUGAGACUCAUUAGGGAAAAGGGGAUUCUGGGAUGUUUUCUGCUGUGAAUAGGUACCCUACUGCCACUAAAGAAGGGUACAGUUUUGCUCCAUUUCUGUCCUUCAGAGCUUGACAAAUUCUGCUUUCAGCUAAUAUUUCUUUCAGGAGAAAUAGAUUGCUACUCUUUGAAUUAAGUGACAUGACUGGAUUCUAGUUCUGAUUAUUAGUACUAGGAAACGCUCACCAAUAAUAUCUGCUGUAAACAGGUUGCAUGGCAAAGGUCCUCUGGUAUUUCCUCUAGCAUUAGCAUAAAAAGAAUAUUUGCUUCAACUGAUGUGAGGUCCACGUAUUCAUGCCAAAUAAAGACAUGUUAUUAACCCUCCUUUCUGACUUGCUUUUCAUUGGUUUCUUUUGUCUAUUGUAUAAUAAAUAUGACGACUGUGCUUGUAUUACAGUAUAUUGGUGGCAAAGGAAUGCUGAUUUUGUCACAGACAAUUAAUUGAUGACAUUGACCCCCUUCAUUAAAAAGAGAGAGAGAGAGCGCAAACUGACAAUCUCAGACUAAACACCCCAUUUGCCCUAUUACUAUAUACAAAUUGAUGAUUUUUAUGUAAAAAUGUCUGCAUAUGAAAUGCCUGUUUGGAAAAUUUGGAUCAAUUCAGCUCUAAGCUGCACUGUCUGUGCUGAUGGGGUAUUGGUGUGGAGAAAAAAAGUGGAUUUUUAAAUUUAUAAAAGUGUCUUUAUUUA